AGUGAACGCUGGCGGUAGGCCUAACACAUGCGAGUCGAACGGCAGCACAGUAAGAUUGUGCUCUUACGGGUGGCGAGUGGCGGACGGGUGAGGAAUACAUCGGAAUCUACUUUUUCGUGGGGGAUAACGUAGGGAAGCUUACGCUAAUACCGCAUACGACCUACGGUUGAAAGCAGGGGAUAGUCGGACCUUGCGCGAUUGAAUUAGCCGAUGCUGGAUUAGCUAGUUGGCGGGGUAAAGGCCCACCAAGGCAACGAUCCGUAGCCUGUCUGAGAGGAUGAUCAGCCACACUGGAACUGAGACACGGUCCAGACUCCUACGGGAGGCAGCAGUGGGGAAUAUUGGACAAUGGGCGCAAGCCUGAUCCAGCCAUACCGCGUGGGUGAAGAAGGCCUUCGGGUUGUAAAGCCCUUUUGUUGGGAAAGAACAGCAGCAGGUUAAUACGCCGCUGUUCUGACGGUACCCAAAGAAUAAGCACCGGCUAACUUCGUG
This 492-nucleotide ribosomal RNA is filed under the name uncultured bacterium. RNAcentral describes it as "partial 16S ribosomal RNA". It matches the Rfam family "Bacterial small subunit ribosomal RNA", at positions 29 to 507 of the family's 1533-position model. The record is from RNAcentral.